RNAcentral lists this ribosomal RNA (468 nucleotides) under uncultured bacterium. RNAcentral's name for it is "partial 16S ribosomal RNA". It matches the Rfam family "Bacterial small subunit ribosomal RNA", at positions 28 to 507 of the family's 1533-position model. The record is from RNAcentral.
GACGAACGCUGGCGGCGUGCUUAACACAUGCAAGUCGAACGGAAAGGCCCUGCUUUUGUGGGGUGCUCGAGUGGCGAACGGGUGAGUAACACGUGAGUAACCUGCCCUUGACUUUGGGAUAACUUCAGGAAACUGGGGCUAAUACCGGAUAGGAGCUCCUGCUGCAUGGUGGGGGUUGGAAAGUUUCGGCGGUUGGGGAUGGACUCGCGGCUUAUCAGCUUGUUGGUGGGGUAGUGGCUUACCAAGGCUUUGACGGGUAGCCGGCCUGGGAGGGUGAGCGGCCACAUUGGGACUGAGAUACGGCCCAGACUCCUACGGGAGGCAGCAGUGGGGAAUAUUGCACAAUGGGCGGAAGCCUGAUGCAGCAACGCCGCGUGCGGGAUGACGGCCUUCGGGUUGUAAACCGCUUUCGCCUGUGACGAAGCGUGAGUGACGGUAAUGGGUAAAGAAGCACCGGCUAACUACGUG